AUGUAUGAUGCAUUAGUUCAUAACGGGGUUCCAAUUGACAAUAGAAAAUUGUGGAAGCUGAAGAUUCCUCUAAAAGUGAAAAUUUUCCUAUGGUUUCUCAAUAAAGGAGUUAUCUUAACUAGGGACAAUUUGGCACGACAAAACUGGCAAGGUUGCAAAAAAUGUGUUUUCUGCCACCAUGAUGAGUCCAUUAAGCAUUUAUUUUUUGAUUGCAAGUUUGCUCGAUCUGUAUGGGCCAUUGUCCAAAUAGUUUCGAAUCUAUAUCCUCCACGUAGUGCACGGAAUAUGUUCGGCAAUUGGUUGAGGGGUAUAGAUAAACAGUUUUCUAAACACAUUCUUGUGGGAACGGCUGCCUUAUGUUGGGCGCUGUGGCUCACUAGGAAUGACAUUGUUUUUAACCGUAAAUGCAUUUCAUCUCCUAUGCAGGUUAUUCAUAUAUGUUCGUGAUGGCUCCGUAUGUGGUCUAUCCUGCAGAGGCCGGAGGACAGAGACCUUUUUAUGAUGGCUUCUACUCGGCUGGAGCGUUCGGCCAGGGAGAUUUUUUAG
RNAcentral lists this ribosomal RNA (546 nucleotides) under Triticum aestivum (bread wheat). RNAcentral's name for it is "partial small subunit ribosomal RNA". The record is from RNAcentral. Lineage: Eukaryota; Viridiplantae; Streptophyta; Magnoliopsida; Poales; Poaceae.